RNAcentral lists this unclassified non-coding RNA (311 nucleotides) under Bombus terrestris (buff-tailed bumblebee). Its description in RNAcentral is "misc RNA ENSBTSG00005023405.1". The record is from RNAcentral. Lineage: Eukaryota; Metazoa; Arthropoda; Insecta; Hymenoptera; Apidae.
CUGCUGUCCCCCAUAGUGGCAUUCCGUACGUCCAAAUUGGUUUUAUUAUCGUUUUGUAUAUUUUUAAUUUAUUUUCUAUGCUGAGUUUAUAAUUUCGACUAGUUAACCAGCACAUCUGUCUUCUUUUUAUCCGUAUUUUGUCUAUAAUUGAUUUAAUAUGUUGCUUCCUGAUAGGUAUUUAAGUUGCCUUGUUUGUGUUAUGUGCGUGCCAUUCAAUUGAAUAUUUGGUGGUUUCCAUUUUCUUAGCGUAAAUGUAAUAUGGCUGCAUUUACUGGAGUUUGUUUUUAUUUGUUUACCUUGUAGCCAUUUUU